UACCGAGUUUACAACUCCCAAACCCAAUGUGAACCAUACCAAACUGUUGCCUCGGCGGGGUCACGCCCCGGGUGCGUCGCAGCCCCGGAACCAGGCGCCCGCCGGAGGGACCAACCAAACUCUUUCUGUAGUCCCCUCGCGGACGUUAUUUCUUACAGCUCUGAGCAAAAAUUCAAAAUGAAUCAAAACUUUCAACAACGGAUCUCUUGGUUCUGGCAUCGAUGAAGAACGCAGCGAAAUGCGAUAAGUAAUGUGAAUUGCAGAAUUCAGUGAAUCAUCGAAUCUUUGAACGCACAUUGCGCCCGCCAGUAUUCUGGCGGGCAUGCCUGUCCGAGCGUCAUUUCAACCCUCGAACCCCUCCGGGGGGUCGGCGUUGGGGAUCGGGAACCCCUAAGACGGGAUCCCGGCCCCGAAAUACAGUGGCGGUCUCGCCGCAGCCUCUCAUGCGCAGUAGUUUGCACAACUCGCACCGGGAGCGCGGCGCGUCCACGUCCGUAAAACACCCAACUUCUGAAAUGUUGACCUCGGAUCAGGUAGGAA
RNAcentral lists this ribosomal RNA (540 nucleotides) under Trichoderma sp. CC08. RNAcentral's name for it is "eukaryotic LSU rRNA". The stretch from base 187 to 340 matches the Rfam family "5.8S ribosomal RNA". The record is from RNAcentral. Lineage: Eukaryota; Fungi; Ascomycota; Sordariomycetes; Hypocreales; Hypocreaceae.